UUCCAUCUUCGGGGCAGGGUGAAAUUCCCGACCGACGGUGAUGAGUGUUUGCGCACUCUUAGUCCGUGACCCGUGAGGUUUCGACCGAGCGGUGGACCUGGUGAAAAUCCGGGACCGACAGUUACAGUCUGGAUGGGAGAAGAUGUCG
Non-coding RNA from Halobacillus mangrovi, 148 nucleotides. Lineage: Bacteria; Bacillati; Bacillota; Bacilli; Caryophanales; Bacillaceae. The record is from Rfam.